GCGUUUGUGGUUUAGUGGUAAAAUCCAUCGUUGCCAUGUGACUGUGUCUGAGCGAUCAGAGCACCAGUCUCAGCGUCGAUGGGCCCCGGGUUCGAUUCCCGGCGAACGCA
Molecule: non-coding RNA, 110 nt
Organism: Cadophora sp. MPI-SDFR-AT-0126
Lineage: Eukaryota; Fungi; Ascomycota; Leotiomycetes; Helotiales; Ploettnerulaceae
Source: the annotation of a GenBank genome assembly